CCUACGGGGGGCAGCAGUGAGGAAUAUUGGUCAAUGGACGAGAGUCUGAACCAGCCAAGUAGCGUGAAGGAUGACUGCCCUAUGGGUUGUAAACUUCUUUUAUAUGGGAAUAAAAUGUUACACGUGUGGGAUUUUGUAUGUACCAUAUGAAUAAGGAUCGGCUAACUCCGUGCCAGCAGCCGCGGUAAUACGGAGGAUCCGAGCGUUAUCCGGAUUUAUUGGGUUUAAAGGGAGCGUAGGUGGAUUGUUAAGUCAGUUGUGAAAGUUUGCGGCUCAACCGUAAAAUUGCAGUUGAAACUGGCAGUCUUGAGUACAGUAGAGGUGGGCGGAAUUCGUGGUGUAGCGGUGAAAUGCUUAGAUAUCACGAAGAACUCCGAUUGCGAAGGCAGUUCACUGGACUGCAACUGACGCUGAGGCUCGAAAGUGUGGGUAUCAAACAGGAUUAGAUACCCUAGUAGUC
This 460-nucleotide ribosomal RNA is filed under the name uncultured bacterium. RNAcentral's name for it is "partial 16S ribosomal RNA". It matches the Rfam family "Bacterial small subunit ribosomal RNA", at positions 338 to 795 of the family's 1533-position model. The record is from RNAcentral.